CUGAUGCAGCAACGCCGCGUGAGGGAUGACGGCCUUCGGGUUGUAAACCUCUUUUAGUAGGGAAGAAGCGAAAGUGACGGUACCUGCAGAAAAAGCACCGGCUAACUACGUGCCAGCAGCCGCGGUAAUACGUAGGGUGCAAGCGUUGUCCGGAAUUAUUGGGCGUAAAGAGCUCGUAGGCGGUUUGUCGCGUCUGCUGUGAAAUCUGGGGGCUCAACCCCCAGCCUGCAGUGGGUACGGGCAGACUAGAGUGCGGUAGGGGAGAUUGGAAUUCCUGGUGUAGCGGUGGAAUGCGCAGAUAUCAGGAGGAACACCGAUGGCGAAGGCAGAUCUCUGGGCCGUAACUGACGCUGAGGAGCGAAAGCAUGGGGAGCGAACAGGAUUAGAUACCCUGGUAGUCCAUGCCGUAAACGUUGGGAACUAGAUGUGGGGGCCAUUCCACGGUCUCCGUGUCGCAGCUAACGCAUUAAGUUCCCCGCCUGGGGAGUACGGCCGCAAGGCUAAAACUCAAAGGAAUUGACGGGGGCCCGCACAAGCGGCGGAGCAUGCGGAUUAAUUCGAUGCAACGCGAAGAACCUUACCAAGGCUUGACAUAUACCGGAAACGUCCAGAGAUGGUCGCCCCCGCA
This 628-nucleotide ribosomal RNA is filed under the name Microbacteriaceae bacterium Ri2Pt_3912. RNAcentral's name for it is "bacterial SSU rRNA". It matches the Rfam family "Bacterial small subunit ribosomal RNA", at positions 383 to 1020 of the family's 1533-position model. The record is from RNAcentral. Lineage: Bacteria; Bacillati; Actinomycetota; Actinomycetes; Micrococcales; Microbacteriaceae.